GAAAUGGCUCUUUUCAGAGCCCUAAAAUUAUUUUUUUAAAGAGUUU
Molecule: non-coding RNA, 46 nt
Organism: Lutzomyia longipalpis
Lineage: Eukaryota; Metazoa; Arthropoda; Insecta; Diptera; Psychodidae
Source: Rfam